Molecule: ribosomal RNA, 457 nt
Filed under: uncultured bacterium
Lineage: Bacteria
Description: partial 16S ribosomal RNA
Rfam family: Bacterial small subunit ribosomal RNA
Source: RNAcentral
GAUGAACGCUGGCGGCGUGCCUAAUACAUGCAAGUCGAGCGGAAAGGCCCUUCGGGGUACUCGAGCGGCGGACGGCUGAGUAACGCGUAGGAACGUACCCCAAAGUGAGGGAUAACUGCUCGAAAGAGUAGCUAAUACCGCAUGUGCUCUUCGGAGCAAAGCUUCGGCGCUUUGGGAACGGCCUGCGUCCUAUUAGCUAGUUGGUGAGGUAAUUGCUCACCAAGGCGACGAUAGGUAGCUGGUCUGAGAGGAUGAUCAGCCAGACUGGGACUGAGGCACGGCCCAGACUCCUACGGGAGGCAGCAGUAGGGAAUUUUCCACAAUGGGCGAAAGCCUGAUGGAGCAACGCCGCGUGCAGGAUGAAUGCCUUCGGGUUGUAAACUGCUUUUAUAGGUGAAGAAUAUGACGGUAACCUAUGAAUAAGGAUCGGCUAACUCCGUGCCAGCCGCCGCGGUAA